CCUACGGGGGGCAGCAGUGGGGAAUAUUGGACAAUGGGGGAAACCCUGAACCAGCGACGCCGCGUGAGUGAAGAAGUAUUUCGGUACGUAAAGCCCUAUUAGCAGGGAAGAAAAUGACGGUACCUGACUAAGAAGCACCGGCUAACUACGUGCCAGCAGCCGCGGUAAUACGGAGGGGGCAAGCGUUAUCCGGAUUUACUGGGCGUAAAGGGCGCGUAGACGGCAGCGCAAGUCAGGGGUGAAAUGCCGGGGCUGAACCACGGAACUGCACUGGAAACUGUGAAGCUAGAGUGCAGGAGAGGUAGGCGGAAUUCUUGGUGUAGCGGUAAAAUGCGUAGAGAUCAGGAGGAAGACCGACGGCGAAGGCGGCUUACUGGACUGUAACUGACGUUGAGGCGCGAAGGCGUGGGGAGCAAACAGGAUUAGAUACCCUGGUAGUC
This 440-nucleotide ribosomal RNA is filed under the name uncultured bacterium. Its description in RNAcentral is "partial 16S ribosomal RNA". It matches the Rfam family "Bacterial small subunit ribosomal RNA", at positions 338 to 795 of the family's 1533-position model. The record is from RNAcentral.